This 1552-nucleotide ribosomal RNA is filed under the name Salmonella enterica subsp. enterica serovar Enteritidis. Its description in RNAcentral is "partial 23S ribosomal RNA". It matches the Rfam family "Bacterial large subunit ribosomal RNA", at positions 1292 to 2824 of the family's 2925-position model. Lineage: Bacteria; Pseudomonadati; Pseudomonadota; Gammaproteobacteria; Enterobacterales; Enterobacteriaceae. The record is from RNAcentral.
GAAUGCUGACAUAAGUAACGAUAAAGCGGGUGAAAAGCCCGCUCGCCGGAAGACCAAGGGUUCCUGUCCAACGUUAAUCGGGGCAGGGUGAGUCGACCCCUAAGGCGAGGCCGAAAGGCGUAGUCGAUGGGAAACGGGUUAAUAUUCCCGUACUUGGUGUUACUGCGAAGGGGGGACGGAGAAGGCUAUGUUGGCCGGGCGACGGUUGUCCCGGUUUAAGCGUGUAGGUGUGUGUUCCAGGUAAAUCCGGUUCACUUUAACACUGAGGCGUGACGACGAGGCACUACGGUGCUGAAGCAACAAAUGCCCUGCUUCCAGGAAAAGCCUCUAAGCAUCAGGUAACAUCAAAUCGUACCCCAAACCGACACAGGUGGUCAGGUAGAGAAUACCAAGGCGCUUGAGAGAACUCGGGUGAAGGAACUAGGCAAAAUGGUGCCGUAACUUCGGGAGAAGGCACGCUGACACGUAGGUGAAGUGAUUUACUCAUGGAGCUGAAGUCAGUCGAAGAUACCAGCUGGCUGCAACUGUUUAUUAAAAACACAGCACUGUGCAAACACGAAAGUGGACGUAUACGGUGUGACGCCUGCCCGGUGCCGGAAGGUUAAUUGAUGGGGUCAGCGCAAGCGAAGCUCCUGAUCGAAGCCCCGGUAAACGGCGGCCGUAACUAUAACGGUCCUAAGGUAGCGAAAUUCCUUGUCGGGUAAGUUCCGACCUGCACGAAUGGCGUAAUGAUGGCCAGGCUGUCUCCACCCGAGACUCAGUGAAAUUGAACUCGCUGUGAAGAUGCAGUGUACCCGCGGCAAGACGGAAAGACCCCGUGAACCUUUACUAUAGCUUGACACUGAACAUUGAGCCUUGAUGUGUAGGAUAGGUGGGAGGCUUUGAAGUGUGGACGCCAGUCUGCAUGGAGCCGACCUUGAAAUACCACCCUUUAAUGUUUGAUGUUCUAACGUGGACCCGUUACCCGGGUUGCGGACAGUGUCUGGUGGGUAGUUUGACUGGGGCGGUCUCCUCCUAAAGAGUAACGGAGGAGCACGAAGGUUGGCUAAUCCUGGUCGGACAUCAGGAGGUUAGUGCAAUGGCAUAAGCCAGCUUGACUGCGAGCGUGACGGCGCGAGCAGGUGCGAAAGCAGGUCAUAGUGAUCCGGUGGUUCUGAAUGGAAGGGCCAUCGCUCAACGGAUAAAAGGUACUCCGGGGAUAACAGGCUGAUACCGCCCAAGAGUUCAUAUCGACGGCGGUGUUUGGCACCUCGAUGUCGGCUCAUCACAUCCUGGGGCUGAAGUAGGUCCCAAGGGUAUGGCUGUUCGCCAUUUAAAGUGGUACGCGAGCUGGGUUUAGAACGUCGUGAGACAGUUCGGUCCCUAUCUGCCGUGGGCGCUGGAGAACUGAGGGGGGCUGCUCCUAGUACGAGAGGACCGGAGUGGACGCAUCACUGGUGUUCGGGUUGUCAUGCCAAUGGCACUGCCCGGUAGCUAAAUGCGGAAGAGAUAAGUGCUGAAAGCAUCUAAGCACGAAACUUGCCCCGAGAUGAGUUCUCCCUGAGACUUAAAG